Molecule: ribosomal RNA, 410 nt
Filed under: Haemophilus sp. HMSC073C03
Lineage: Bacteria; Pseudomonadati; Pseudomonadota; Gammaproteobacteria; Pasteurellales; Pasteurellaceae
Description: bacterial LSU rRNA
Rfam family: Bacterial large subunit ribosomal RNA
Source: RNAcentral
UCGAGUCGGCCUGCGCGGAAGAUGUAACGGGGCUGAAAUAUAGCACCGAAGCUGCGGCAUCAGACGUAAGUCUGUUGGGUAGGGGAGCGUUGUGUAAGCGGAAGAAGGUGUGUUGAGAAGCAUGCUGGACGUAUCAGAAGUGCGAAUGCUGACAUAAGUAACGAUAAAACGGGUGAAAAACCCGUUCGCCGGAAGACCAAGGGUUCCUGUCCAACGUUAAUCGGGGCAGGGUGAGUCGGCCCCUAAGGCGAGGCUGAAGAGCGUAGUCGAUGGGAAACAGGUUAAUAUUCCUGUACUUGGUAAAGCUGCGAUGUGGGGACGGAGUAGGUUAGGUUAUCGCACUGUUGGAUAUGUGCGUUUAAGUUGGUAGGUGGGAAGUUUAGGCAAAUCCGGACUUCCUUAACACUGAG